AUGGCAGGCGCUCGCUCCUCUCUCGCUCCCUCGCUCGCUCCCUCACACACGCGCGGAGGGAGGCGAAGCCCGCAGCAGCCACUUCCCCACUUUCCAAACUUCCCAGCGCAACUUUUUCCUCUCCUCCCCUGCCCGUGCCUCCUCCUCCCCCAUCGCUCCCCCUUCCCCUGGCCCGCUCCUCGCCGGCCGUAGCUUCCGAGCGCGGCCACCAGGGGGCGCCCGGGCCGAGGCCCCUCUGGGCCAACUUCUGUGGUGUCUUCCGUGGACAAGGCUGGGCGCCGAAUUCGGGGACACGGACUGACAUCGCCUAAAGCAUCUGAUGCGCAGAUCCUGGCGGGAGUUAACAGCGAAAGAGGCAGGAGUGGGCAGGCACUCCCAGACUGGCUGGGAAGGCAGAACUCAAAGGAAAUCCAGGGAAGCUGGUACCCGGAGCAACUCCGUCUCGGCCAAGCGCACGUCUGGCGACCGUGGCAGAACAGGCCAGAGUGCCCGGAUGGUGGGAGAGAUCAGUGUGUCUCCACGUUCCCCACACACAGAGCUCUGAGAACUGCAGCUGCAACCAAAGAGAAGUCCUUUAAAGAGCCCCUGGUCCCUGAGGCUCCAAAGCUCCCACUGCGCUGGGUAAGGAUGAGGUGAGACAGCUGGGAAGUGGGAGGACGUGUUCAUUCCACUGAGAGGGAGUCCGAUGGUCCUCAUGGGCAUUAGAAGACAUAAGGCAGAUAGAAGAUAAGAAAGGACCUGAUCAAGUUAAAAAUGGAUCCAUAUAAUUAAAGUGAUGGUGCAUGUGUGUGAUUUUAAAAGUGUUCCAAGGCUUUUUUUCCCCUAAAAUUAUAAAAGUGUCAUUAGCUAAUUGUCAUGAAUAGCAGCUAUGACUUCUUUUUUCAUGGCCCUAUCUUAUGACUGUGUGACCAGGGUCAAAACAGGUAACCUCUCUGUGCCUCUCUUUCUCCAUCCAGCUUCCUGUCCUUUAUUUAUUUAUUUAUAUUGAGAGAGAGCAAGCUGAGGAGGGGCGGAGAGAGAGAAUCUUAAGCAGGCUCCGCACUGAGUGUGAAGCCUGAUGUGGGGCUCGAUCUCACAACCCUGAGAUGGUGACUGGAGCCAAAAUCAAGAGACAGAUGCUUAACCAACUGAGCCACACAGGCGCCCCUCCUGUCUUACUUUUCUCAGUCAACGUGUGCAAUAAUACUUUGGAUCUCCAUCAGCGGUGUUACCGAUAUUGUUAAUAAGAUUCAAGAACAAAUAUGUUUUUCCACUCCUAGGUGGAAAGAGAGUUGAAAACAUUCAUCCAUACAAAGUAGUAGUAUUGUUCAAGAUAACGAAAAGGGGGGCGCCUGGGUGGCACAGCAGUUAAGCGUCUGCCUUCAGCUCAGGGCGUGAUCCUGGCGUUCUGGGAUCGAGCCCCACAUCAGGCUCCUCCGCUAUGAGCCUGCUUCUUCCUCUCCCACUCCCCCCGCUUGUGUUCCCUCUCUCGCUGGCUGUCUCUCUCUCUGUCGAAUAAAUAAAUAAAAUUUUUUUUAAAAUAAUGAAAA
RNAcentral lists this long non-coding RNA (1529 nucleotides) under Ursus americanus (American black bear). RNAcentral's name for it is "lncRNA (ENSUAMG00000022405.1)". Lineage: Eukaryota; Metazoa; Chordata; Mammalia; Carnivora; Ursidae. The record is from RNAcentral.